RNAcentral lists this ribosomal RNA (304 nucleotides) under uncultured bacterium. Its description in RNAcentral is "partial 16S ribosomal RNA". It matches the Rfam family "Bacterial small subunit ribosomal RNA", at positions 506 to 809 of the family's 1533-position model. The record is from RNAcentral.
CAGCAGCAGCCGCGGUAAUACGAGGGGUGCAAGCGUUAUUCGGAUUGAUUGGGUGUAAAGGGUGUGCAGACGGCUUAUUAAGUCACUUGUUAAAUUCUUCGGCCUAACUGAAGGUCUGCAAGUGUUACUGAUGAGCUAGAGGGUGGAAGAGAGAAGUGGAAUUCUCGGAGUAGCGGUAAAAUGCGUAGAUCUCGAGAGGAACACCGAUGGCGAAGGCAGCUUCUUGGUCCAUUCCUGACGUUCAUACACGAAAGCGUGGGGAGCAAACAGGAUUAGAUACCCCAGUAGUCCCUGUCUCUUAUAU